RNA transcript from Alnus glutinosa, 4110 nucleotides. It is a transcript of the gene named pentatricopeptide repeat-containing protein At4g19440, chloroplastic-like, with no coding region annotated. The transcript has 6 exons. The record is from RefSeq and is a predicted model, not a curated record. Lineage: Eukaryota; Viridiplantae; Streptophyta; Magnoliopsida; Fagales; Betulaceae.
UCUCUUAAAAGAUUCCCCAGUCGACAGAACCCCUUCGCUCCCUAUUCUUCCAUCUGGUCUUAUUUCUCCAUUGAGCGCACGGCUAGUCGCUCUCUUCAUUUCUUUCCUCCUCCUCUCUCUCUAACCUCCUUGUAACCCGUGCUGUAGAGGAACAAAUUUGUAGCUUUUAGCGUGAUUAAAGACUACUGUACUGAACCCAACCAUGGUUAGGCCAAGAGCGAGUAUUGGUGUCGCUCGGCCAUCUCUGGCCACAAGAAGAUCGUUACCGCCCCCUUGUGCUGUCUUUGUGGUUCAAGAUAAUUUUUUAGCGAUAAUCCAACUAUUUGGGGUAUUACAUUUUACGUAUCAAUGUGCUUAUUCAUAAGAAUUAUCCAUAUGAUACUUUCUCUUGGAUUAAAACUCAUAAUACUUCGAUCAUCUUUAAUAGUUUUCAGUAUUCAAUGGAUUUGAGGAGGCUCCCUAUCACCAAACCCUCACCUAUCUUCUACCCCGUCACGCGCCCCUUAACCUGCGUGACCUCCCCUGGCCACCACCACCAGGACCAACCUCCUCAGCCUCAGCCUCAGCCUACGCCGCCGCCGCCGCCAUUACAGCACCAUAGCCAUCGACAACCUUCCAACCAGAGUUUGCCCAACUGGGUAUCUUCUAUUCUCUCAAACCCAUCUCUAGAUUCUUCCAAGUGUAAAGCACUCAUGCCCCAUUUGUCUCCUUCCGAUUUUGAUCUGAUAUUCUUCUCUGUUAAAUCCAAUGUGAACCCCAAAACCGCUUUGAAUUUCUUUUAUUUUGCGUCUGAAGCUUUUAAGUUUCGGUUUACUGUGAGGUCAUAUUGCCUUUUGAUUCAUUUGCUUAUUGUAUCGAACCUGGUUUCUCCUGCAAGAUUGCUUUUGAUCCGUUUGCUUGAUGGGAAAAUGCCUGUUUUAUAUGCCGAACCUAAGAACCGGCAUAUUGAGAUUGCCAAUGCGAUAGCAGAUUUGAAUUCUGCAUCCGAGCGGCUUCUUGGGGUUCAGGCACUGGAUUUGUUGGUACAUGUUUGUUGUACCCAGUUUAAGAAUCUGGGUUUUGGUUUUGGUAUUGAUGUGUUUCGGUUAUUGGCGAAUAAGUGUAUGUUUCCGUCUUUGAGGACUUGCAAUUUUUUGUUGAGUUCUUUGGUGAACGCAAACGAACUUCAGAAGAGUUAUGAAGUGUUUGAAGUGAUGUGCCGAGGGCUUUCUCCGGAUGUUUACUUGUUUAGUACUGCAAUUAAUGCAUUUUGUAAGGGAAAGAAGGUUGAAGAUGCAAUUGGGUUGUUCAUGAAAAUGGAGGAGUUGGGUAUUGCUCCAAAUGUUGUUACUUACAAUAAUAUUAUUCAUGGGCUAUGCAAGAACAGGAGAUUAGAUGAGGCAUUGCAGUUUAGAGAGAGGAUGGUAAGGAACAAUGUAAACCCAAGUGUUAUAACAUACUGCGUACUAAUUAAUGGUUUUAUUAGGCUCGAGAAAUUUGAUGGAGCAAAUUACAUUUUGAAGGAAAUGUUGGAUAGGGGGAUUGUACCUAAUGAGGUUGUAUAUAACACAUUAAUUGAUGGGUAUUGUAAAGCAGGAAAUGUUAGUCAAGCACUGAAGAUAAGGGAUGAUAUGAUAUCAAAGGGGAUAACUCCUAAUACAGUUACUCUUAAUUCUCUUAUACUGGGUCUUUGCAAAAGUAAUGAUAUGGAACAUGCUGAGCAUGUUUUAGAGGAGAUGAUAUUGAGAGGGUUACCUAUAAGCCAUGUGGCUUAUACUUCGGUCAUUCACGGGUUAUGUAUGAGGUCUAAGUUUGAUUCUGCACUCCUAUUCACCAAGAAGAUGCUGUCAAGAAACACUAGACCCAAUGAUGGGUUGCUGACCACAUUGGUUGUUGGACUUUGUAAGAAUGGAAAGCAUUCAGAGGCAGUUGAACUUUGGUUUAGGCUAUUGAAGAAAGGUUUUCCAGCCAAUACAGUAACGUCAAAUGCUCUAAUUCAUGGACUUUGUGAAGUAGGUAACAUGGAAGGGGCUGUUAGGCUACUUAAGGAGAUGCUAGAGAGGGGUUUGGUACUGGAUAGGAUCACAUACAACACACUCAUUUUGGGGUGUUGCAAAGAGGGAAAAGUGGAGGAGGCUUUUAAGUUAAGGGAAGAGAUGGCUAAACAAGGAAUUCAACCAGACGCCUUUACUUACAAUUUGCUAAUACAUGGGUGGUGUAAUAUGGGUAAAGUGGAUGAUGCUGUUAAGUUUUGGGACGAAUGCAAGAGAAAUGGUAUGGUUUCUAACGUUUAUACAUAUGGGGUGAUAAUAGAUGGAUAUUGUAAAGCUAACAGAAUUGAUGAGGGUGAAAAACUAUUCAAUGAGGUUCUUAUUCAGAAAUUGGAGCUAAAUUCUGUUAUUUAUAAUACACUAAUUAGAGCGUACUGUAGAAUUGGGAAUAUGAUGGCAGCCUUUAGACUUCGUGAUGACAUGAAAAGCAAAGGUAUUCCACCUACUUGUAACACAUAUACUUCUCUAAUACAUGGAAUGUGCAAUAUUGGUCAUGUUGAGGAUGCAAAAGACCUUCUCGUUGAAAUGAGAAAGGAGGGUUUGUUGCCGAAUGUCAUUUGUUAUACCGCACUAAUUGGCGGUUAUUGUAAGCUAGGCCAGAUGGAUAAUGUCCAAAGUAUCUUGUUGGAAAUGUCUUCAUAUAAUAUAUGCCCUAAUAAAAUUACCUACACUGUCAUGAUUGAUGGGCAUUGUAAAUUGGGAAAUAUGAAAAAAGCAAAUAAGCUUCUACAUGAGAUGGCAGAAAGUGGAAUUCUCCCUGAUGCUGUCACUUAUAAUGCCUUGACAAAUGGGGUUUGCAAAGGGAGGAAGAUAGAUGAAGGAUUUGAGAUAAGAACAGUAAAGGUUAGCAACAUUUCACUACCUGCUUCUGAGAGUGACAACAGAGAAUUAUUUUCAUUUUCUAGUGAUAUUCAAUAUUUUGAAAUGAAAAGGGAAACUGAUAGGACCCAACUUGCCUAUGUUACCUUCAAGGAUUCACGAGGAGAUGCAGCAAUGCUCUUGUCGAUUUAUGAAUAUUCGAGAUAUUCUCCAAAUGUUGGAGACCGUACCCUUCCAAAUAAGCAAAAUUACAUGCAUCUUUUGUUCAUACAAGGAAAUUGCCAUAUAUAGAAUUUAUGUUGAACCACGACAUUAGUGGCCUAGUGCUGUUCCAACCUUGCCUUAAAGAAAAUAGCUAUAUGGAGUUACAAAUAUUGCAAGACAGGAGAGAAGGCAAGCUGCUACUGCUUCUGCUGUUAAGAAGGCUGAAGACGUGUGAGCAUCAUGCUUGCCUGAGGGUUUCAUCUUGGGAAAGGAUGCCAUUAACAAGGCAAAAGUCUUUGAUGAACAGUGUCACUUGACAUCAAAUGCCACUGCCACAGUUGCUUCGAUUCGAUCGCCAAAUGGGACUGAGUGCAUUGGGAUUGCUAUAAUCAAUGAAUAGGUGAGAGAUGAAUGAGCAGGUUCCAGGUAUCUAAGAAGUCAAAAUUUGCCUUAAUUUGCUACGGUUGAAUAGAAGGCAACCGCUGCAGGAUCUAUUAUUAGGAGCCGGAGCUUCAUUGAUUUCAAGUGCAUUUACUACAGUUGCAAAGGCAGAUGAAGAUGUUAGCAUGACGACCAAGGAGAUGUUGAGAAGGCUGAAGAGGAAAAGGAGAUAAGGACAAGGACAAGGACCAUCAAUGACUUCGCAUAAAUCCAUCUUGAUGAGUCUUUCCGCAGUGGAGCCUCCAACGAUUCCAGUCAAAUCAGCCGAUGACAGUAUGCAUGGUAUCAUAUGACUGCUGUGGAUUUUUCUUUAUCCAGUACAGUCGGAUUACUUUUGAAUUUGCUGUAUGAUAUGCUUCAACACUAACGUUCUAUCACAUUGCCUGUUGGACAGCAGUAAGUCACGUUAAUUGCUCUAGUGAAUUUAGAAUUGUCUGGCUGGCUUCUUAGGCUUCCAUUGAAUUCAAUUCUAGGUAGAAAAAUGUAUAGCUGCCUCUGGAAGGAGCUGAUCUCAAAUCAAGUUAGUAGCAGUCUUGGUCUACCUAGAUCAUGCAUUUUGUUUUCAGAGUAGAAAUUUUUGUUCUUUUGGUUUAUAUAUAUGAAGUACAUUCUAUCU